This 467-nucleotide ribosomal RNA is filed under the name uncultured bacterium. RNAcentral describes it as "partial 16S ribosomal RNA". It matches the Rfam family "Bacterial small subunit ribosomal RNA", at positions 28 to 507 of the family's 1533-position model. The record is from RNAcentral.
GACGAACGCUGGCGGCGUGCUUAACACAUGCAGGUCGAACGGAAAGGCUCCAGCUUGCUGGAGUACUCGAGUGGCGAACGGGUGAGUAACACGUGGGUAAUCUGCCCUGCACUCUGGGAUAAGCCUGGGAAACUGGGUCUAAUACUGGAUAUGACCUUUCUCCUUAUGGGGUUUGGUGGAAAGUUUUUCGGUGUAGGAUGAGCCCGCGGCCUAUCAGCUUGUUGGUGGGGUGAUGGCCUACCAAGGCGACGACGGGUAGCCGGCCUGAGAGGGUGAUCGGCCACAUUGGGACUGAGAUACGGCCCAGACUCCUACGGGAGGCAGCAGUGGGGAAUAUUGCACAAUGGGCGGAAGCCUGAUGCAGCGACGCCGCGUGAGGGAUGACGGCCUUCGGGUUGUAAACCUCUUUCAGCAGGGACGAAGCGUAAGUGACGGUACCUGCAGAAGAAGCACCGGCUAACUAUGUG